RNAcentral lists this ribosomal RNA (847 nucleotides) under uncultured fungus. RNAcentral describes it as "SSU rRNA". It matches the Rfam family "Eukaryotic small subunit ribosomal RNA", at positions 20 to 878 of the family's 1831-position model. Lineage: Eukaryota; Fungi. The record is from RNAcentral.
GUAGUCAUAUGCUUGUCUCAAAGAUUAAGCCAUGCAUGUCUAAGUAUAAGCAACUAUACGGUGAAACUGCGAAUGGCUCAUUAAAUCAGUUAUCGUUUAUUUGAUAGUACCUUACUACAUGGAUAACCGUGGUAAUUCUAGAGCUAAUACAUGCUAAAAACCUCGACCUCGGAAGGGGUGUAUUUAUUAGAUAAAAAACCAAUGCCCUUCGGGGCUCCUUGGUGAAUCAUAAUAACUUAACGAAUCGCAUGGCCUUGCGCCGGCGAUGGUUCAUUCAAAUUUCUGCCCUAUCAACUUUCGAUGGUAGGAUAGUGGCCUACCAUGGUAUCAACGGGUAACGGGGAAUUAGGGUUCGACUCCGGAGAGGGGGCCUGAGAAACGGCUACCACAUCCAAGGAAGGCAGCAGGCGCGCAAAUUACCCAAUCCCGACACGGGGAGGUAGUGACAAUAAAUACUGAUACAGGGCUCUUUUGGGUCUUGUAAUUGGAAUGAGUACAAUUUAAAUCCCUUAACGAGGAACAAUUGGGGGGCAAGUCUGGUGCCAGCAGCCGCGGUAAUUCCAGCUCCAAUAGCGUAUAUUAAAGUUGUUGCAGUUAAAAAGCUCGUAGUUGAACCUUGGGCCUGGCUGGCCGGUCCGCCUCACCGCGUGUACUGGUCCGGCCGGGCCUUUCCUUCUGGGGAACCUCAUGCCCUUCACUGGGCGUGUUGGGGAACCAGGACUUUUACUUUGAAAAAAUUAGAGUGUUCAAAGCAGGCCUUUGCUCGAAUACAUUAGCAUGGAAUAAUAGAAUAGGACGUGUGGUUCUAUUUUGUUGGUUUCUAGGACCGCCGUAAUGAUAAUAGGGA